RNAcentral lists this ribosomal RNA (253 nucleotides) under uncultured bacterium. Its description in RNAcentral is "partial 16S ribosomal RNA". It matches the Rfam family "Bacterial small subunit ribosomal RNA", at positions 524 to 776 of the family's 1533-position model. The record is from RNAcentral.
UACGUAGGUGGCGAGCGUUGUCCGGAAUUACUGGGUGUAAAGCGCGCGUAGGCGGGAGGCCAAGUCCGCUGUGAAAUCGCCCGGCUCAACUGGGCGCGGUCGGUGGAAACUGGUCACCUGGAGGACGGUAGAGGCGAGUGGAAUUCCCGGUGUAGUGGUGAAAUGCGUAGAGAUCGGGAGGAACACCAGUGGCGAAGGCGGCUCGCUGGGCCGGCCCUGACGCUGAGGCGCGAAGGCGUGGGGAGCGAACAGG